AAUUCUCAAAACCCCUUCCUUUGCCGGAAAGGAUUUUGGACUUGGAGGCCUUUUGCUGGUUUCACCUCGAAGCGAGCUCCUCCUAAAUGGAUUAGUGGGGUCUGCUUUGCCGAUCCUUGACGUGAUAAGAUGCUUCUACGUCUUGGGUUUUGGCACUGUGCCUCUGCUUCUAAUCGUCUCAUCGACAACGAUGGUGUUCCGGUCACCGCCGAUUCUUCGGUUGGGAGGCUUGACCCACAAAACGA
This 245-nucleotide unclassified non-coding RNA is filed under the name uncultured Russula. RNAcentral describes it as "sequence contains ITS2". Lineage: Eukaryota; Fungi; Basidiomycota; Agaricomycetes; Russulales; Russulaceae. The record is from RNAcentral.